RNAcentral lists this ribosomal RNA (460 nucleotides) under uncultured bacterium. RNAcentral describes it as "partial 16S ribosomal RNA". It matches the Rfam family "Bacterial small subunit ribosomal RNA", at positions 338 to 795 of the family's 1533-position model. The record is from RNAcentral.
CCUACGGGAGGCAGCAGUGAGGAAUAUUGGUCAAUGGACGAGAGUCUGAACCAGCCAAGUAGCGUGAAGGAUGACUGCCCUAUGGGUUGUAAACUUCUUUUAUAUGGGAAUAAAAUGUUCCACGUGUGGGAUUUUGUAUGUACCAUAUGAAUAAGGAUCGGCUAACUCCGUGCCAGCAGCCGCGGUAAUACGGAGGAUCCGAGCGUUAUCCGGAUUUAUUGGGUUUAAAGGGAGCGUAGGUGGAUUGUUAAGUCAGUUGUGAAAGUUUGCGGCUCAACCGUAAAAUUGCAGUUGAAACUUGCAGUCUUGAGUACAGUAGAGGUGGGCGGAAUUCGUGGUGUAGCGGUGAAAUGCUUAGAUAUCACGAAGAACUCCGAUUGCGAAGGCAGUUCACUGGACUGCAACUGACACUGAGGCUCGAAAGUGUGGGUAUCAAACAGGAUUAGAUACCCGAGUAGUC